This 749-nucleotide long non-coding RNA is filed under the name Mytilus galloprovincialis (Mediterranean mussel). The record is from RNAcentral. Lineage: Eukaryota; Metazoa; Mollusca; Bivalvia; Mytilida; Mytilidae.
UUAUCUUUUAUACUUUCAAUCUAUCGCAUGUAAAGAGCCUGACAUUUAGAGAUGCUCAUCGGUUCAAAUGUUCAAAUUUGCUAUAUUGAAUACUAAUAUGUUGGUUAAGUGGGACAUUUUCAAUAUUAUCUUUUAUACUCGAAACUUUCAAUCUAUCGCAUGUAAAGAGCCUGACAUUUAGAGAUUAAAACAACUUAAAUGAACAAAACCAAAUCUUUAAGUGUCCAUCACAAAUCAAGUGGGUCUCAUUGGGGUCUAAGCGUGACGCGGGAUUGCCUAUUUUUUAUAAGCGUGACACGUGAACGUCAAAUUAUUGUGCCGUGAAAACGGGAAAUGAAGUCUAGCGGGACACGGGAAAAUGCAAAAAAAAAAAAAAUGAUAAUUGCCUAGGUACAUAGUGUAAGCGGGAUACGGGAAUCUAACAAAACAGUAAGCGGGAUCCGGGAUCAGAACCCCCCAAUGAGACCCCCAAUCAAGAGCCUUGUGUGUGAUCUCCUGUUUAAGAUUAAAGUGUUUUCUCUUUCUCUUUGUUUUUGUUUCAUUCUAUGUUUGGUUUGAUAGUUCCUGUUCAAUAAGUUAACGACAUGCUGUAAACGGAACUAACAAGACAACAGCCAAAAAGGGAACGUGUUAGCCCAGGCGAACAUAUAACUCUCGGAAUUAGAACUAACCAGUUUUUGUUCUUAUACUAUUACAUGCCGUGUGGUUCGCUGAAAAGUACAAGAACAAGAUUUUAAAGUAUUUAAAUU